This 214-nucleotide ribosomal RNA is filed under the name uncultured fungus. RNAcentral's name for it is "partial small subunit ribosomal RNA". The stretch from base 85 to 214 matches the Rfam family "Eukaryotic small subunit ribosomal RNA", at positions 733 to 864 of the family's 1831-position model. The record is from RNAcentral. Lineage: Eukaryota; Fungi.
ACGGGCUCGCUCGGUCCGCCUCACGGCGUGUACUUUGCGGGUCCGUGCUCCUUGGUGGUGAGCCUCGAUGUCGUUUACUCGGCGUCUUGGUGAACCACCUCUGUUACUUUGAAAAAAUUAGAGUGUUUAAAGCAGGCUAACGCUUGAAUACAUUAGCAUGGAAUAAUGAAAUAGGACGAUCGAUCCUAUUUUGUUGGUUUCUAGGAUUGACGUA